RNAcentral lists this ribosomal RNA (591 nucleotides) under uncultured bacterium. RNAcentral describes it as "bacterial SSU rRNA". It matches the Rfam family "Bacterial small subunit ribosomal RNA", at positions 338 to 916 of the family's 1533-position model. The record is from RNAcentral.
CCUACGGGAGGCAGCAGUAGGGAAUCUUCCGCAAUGGACGAAAGUCUGACGGAGCAACGCCGCGUGAACGAUGAAGGCCUUCGGGUCGUAAAGUUCUGUUGUUAGGGAAGAACAAGUGCUAGUUAAAUAAGCUGGCACCUUGACGGUACCUAACCAGAAAGCCACGGCUAACUACGUGCCAGCAGCCGCGGUAAUACGUAGGUGGCAAGCGUUGUCCGGAAUUAUUGGGCGUAAAGCGCGCGCAGGCGGUUUCUUAAGUCUGAUGUGAAAGCCCCCGGGCUCAACCGGGGAGGGUCAUUGGAAACUGGGAAACUUGAGUGCAGAAGAGGAAAGUGGAAUUCCAAGUGUAGCGGUGAAAUGCGUAGAGAUUUGGAGGAACACCAGUGGCGAAGGCGACUUUCUGGUCUGUAACCUGACGCUGAGGCGCGAAAGCGUGGGGAGCAAACAGGAUUAGAUACCCUGGUAGUCCACGCUGUAAACCGAUGAGUGCUAAGUGUUAGAGGGUUUUACCGCCCUUUAGUGCUGAAGUUAACGCAUUAAGCACUCCGCCUGGGGANCGGUCGCAAGACUGAAACUCAAAUGAAUUGACGG